AUUGAACGCUGGCGGCAGUCCUAACACAUGCCAGUCGGGCGAGCGGCGUACGGGUGAGUAAUGUAUGGGGAUCUGCCUUCUGGCGGGAGAUAACUACUGGAAACGAUCUCUAAUACCGCAUACCCACAGAUGCACCCAUAUGGGAUUAGCUUGUAGGUGAGGUAACGGCUCACCUAGGCGACGAUCCCUAGCUGGUCUGAGAGGAUGAUCAGCCACACUGGGACUUAGACACGGCCCAGACUCCUACGGGAGGCAGCAGUGGGGAAUAUGGCACAAUGGGCGCAAGCCUGAUGCAGCCAUGACGCGGGUAUGAAGAAGGCCUUCGGGUUGUAAAGUACUUUCAGUCGGGAGGCGUUACCGACAGAAGAAGCACCGGCUAACUCCGUGCCAGCCGCCGCGGUAAUAC
RNAcentral lists this ribosomal RNA (406 nucleotides) under uncultured bacterium. Its description in RNAcentral is "partial 16S ribosomal RNA". It matches the Rfam family "Bacterial small subunit ribosomal RNA", at positions 30 to 526 of the family's 1533-position model. The record is from RNAcentral.